UGCUGGGGCCGCUAAACCACUAUAACUGCCACACCAGUUUCACUUGCAUACAAGGAAAGGAAGCAGCUAGGCACAGUGGCUCCCACCUCUGGCUAGCACUUGAGAGGCUGAGGCAGGAGGAUUAGUCACUUGCUUGAUGCUUGCUUGGGCUAUGCAGUGAGUUCCAGACCAGACUGGGCUACAGAGUAAGGCCCUGUCUCACAAAAAAAGGAAGAAAAAAGAAAAAAGAAAGAAAGAAGAAGAAAAAAGAAAGAAAAGAGAGGAGAAAGCACCUUAAUGUCUGUCUUGUAAAAUCAAGGUAGAGGGAUGUCUGCUCAGUCCAUGGAGCAAAAAGAAGAAAAGUAUGGUCAGAAGAAUUGCCACAAAGUCCAAGAGAGGAGAAAACUUGCAGUCACAAAGACAAGUGAGAGCUGAAGAGAGAUGUGAGCCCUCAAACCUGAUACAACCCAGCCCAAGGAAGGUAGGAUUCAAGGAGAAACUAAGAGAUGCACAAGACGAGGCUCGGACCACAUGCAGUGUACUCAGUGAGUCACAGAGUGCUCUGAGGUUCCAUCCUUCCAAAUUUGAAAGCCCUUGGGAGCUCCCAUGAGUUCUCCAGCCAGACGAACUGAAAUGCUUCCAAACAGACUUCAGUUGUUCACUGAGGCCUCUUCUUCCUUCUUCACCAAGGACAUUAUCUGUCUGUAUAACAUGCACUGAUGCUACUUUAUCUACUAGAAAAUGCAACAUCACAUGCCAUGGCUAAAUGACUUUAUUACUGAACACUUCUAAGAAACACUGAGAUGAUCUCCCUAAUGUAAGAGCCCAGAGAAAGGGACCUGUCAGUCUGUGCUUCUGGGUCUGCCUUCCCAGCCCUCAGCCACGCAGGGCUAUGGAGACUCUCUCACAUUGUGUCACCCAGUCCCGCAUUCUGGAUGGCAUCUAACCGUUCCUUUGCAGCUAACACUCUCCAGGAAGGUUGUACAAACAUUGGAGUUUGGGAUGCAGCGAGUAUAAAGUGGAGUGCCUCCACCUGUCUGAGAAGGAGCUUGUCCACACACUUGAUUAUCAAGACAUCAGUCUCCCAGCAUAAGGGUGGCACUGGAUCCAACCCAGCUUGGAAACACAAUCUUAUGUUAACCUUGACUUUUCAUCUUGUUUCUCCUGGGAAAUAACAUCACCCCCAUGACAUUGACCUACUGCAAAGAAGACCACGUAGAAGAGGGCUUCAUCUUGUCUGACAAAUACCUCACAGGAGAUGCCUGCAGCGUCUGCUUUCUAUGUAAUACAUUCAUUUGUUUCAUUUGUCCCUGUUCAUCUCACAGCUGUUAAAAGUAGGGAACUCUGCAGUGUCAUUGGGAUUAAUCAGGUUUCCUGGCAGCUUCUUCGAAUGGGUUGUCCUUCCAUUCAAAGUCAUGAGGACAGAAGGUGGUGAUGUCACUGCCUGUGCCCACAUGGUCCACAUGUUAGAAGGGUUGGUAGCUAAAUGGGAUGCAUCUGUGUUGAUGAGUGUUUUUAUUGUUCUUUCUUUACUAAAGCAGGUGGCCACACAGUUAAUGGUAGUAUCCUAGCAGAACCUGAAUUCCUCAUGUCUACUCAUUUUGUGGCAAAUUGAAUGACACGGGAAAGGGGCUUUCUUUUUAACCUUGCUAGAACCACGCCACCAGCAAGACACUUGUGGAUCACCUGCACUCUGUGAGGCCCAUCACAUAAGGCCUUUCCCUGAGCUCAUCAGUUUUGGGUAGGCAGUAUAAAUAGAAGAUUCUAGGAUUGUCACCAGGGAGCAGUUCCUAGAGUCCCAGUGACAAGAGCAACGUAAUUCGAGGAAGAGAAUGAUGGCAAAGGUCUGCUCAGUCAUGUCUAGUCUCGUCUUUAGUAUACCAGGUUCUAACUGUAAGACUCUCAAGGGCUCAGGAGGGGUUUCCCAGGCAGGAUUUUAUUGAUCUUUGCAGAGCUAUUUUCACAGAGUAGGACACAUCACUUUCCUCUCCUACAGAGCAGGGAGCAAUCUCAGGACUUAGUGAGCAGCUCACAUUCUUAAGUUUGCAGUGAUACACACACCCCAGGUUUUACAAGCACUACUUCAUGGUUCCUUCUCCAGCACAGGUUCUUUCAUUCUCCAUUUAGUAGUGCUCUGCAACUUAAAGGCAGUCUUUUGAGAUUAUGGCCAUGAGCCAUCCUAUUCUUCGGUUAUUUGUAUUAUUGUAUUUUGAAUAGAUAACAUACACAUUUGACAGAACUGAGUGCUGGGAUGACAGGUACACACCACAGUGUCUUCUUGGGUGUCCUUUUGGAUAUGGUGUUUGUUGUCGCCUACUUGGUUCUGGAGAAGGGCACAGGCCUUCCUCUCCAGGAAUGGAGGAGGAGGACAAGGCUUUUCAGAGCAUGCCUCUUAUUUCCAGCACCUCUAGACUCUUUCAUGCAGGGGCGACAUGACCAGCAAUCUCAGGGAACUGUGAACAUUUUGUGUGUGUGUGUGUGUGUGUGUGUGUGUGUGUGUGUGUGUGUGUGUGUGUGCGCGCGCGCGCGCGCGCGCAACCUAAUCAUUAUUGUUUCCUUCCUCAGUCUCAAUAAAAAAUUGUACAAGGACUGUGACUAUAAGCCUUCUACUUCAUCCCUAAGGGGGAACAUGCCUUAAAAGUGGGUCUUCAUUUUCACUGUGGUCCAUCUAAAAGCUUCAGGGCAUCAGAGAGUGACUGAGAUGUAAACUGUAGGGAUUCGGAGCAUCCGUGUGGGAGAGAAGAUCUGGGACUGCCUCUGGGAGGGGUGACAGGGUCAGGCUAAGGUGGUGUGUGAGAUGCAAUUCUUUCUCACUUAAGUGACAUUGGAACUGUCCUAACUCCGCUUCUGUUUUGUAUGACAGAGUUUAAAGAACACAGCCCCUCCCUAGAGCUGAGCUACUCAUUUCGGACUCUUGGAAAAAAACACAGCAGCGGUUACAAGGAAAAAAGUGGAGGAGUUUGCUGAGAGGGUUAUCCUAUCAAAAGAGCUGGAAAAACUGACAGCAACUUCUAAAGUUCUGGGACACAGAUUGUCACCCCCCUGGGCUACUGGCCCCUGAUAACUCCUCUUGGAGAUAUCCCUGCAGCAUUGGGAAUAAACCACACAGGCUGAAACCUGUUACACAGACACUACACCAACCCAGUCGCACCUGCCUUGUGACUUGGAGUAUCCUUGAGACGAUGUCUUCAUCACAUUUGUGUCAGCCACACGGGAUGAAACCUGCUACACAGACAACACGCCGGCUAAGCCAUCACUAGUUGGUGAUGUGGAAGAUCUGUGUGGAGAUGUGGUCCCUUUGACAUCUGGCUCAGAUGCACAAGCUAAAGAGAAU
Long non-coding RNA from Mesocricetus auratus (golden hamster), 3313 nucleotides. RefSeq lists it as uncharacterized. The transcript has 3 exons. The record is from RefSeq and is a predicted model, not a curated record. NCBI's taxonomy places the organism in Eukaryota, Metazoa, Chordata, Mammalia, Rodentia, Cricetidae.